RNAcentral lists this long non-coding RNA (293 nucleotides) under Setaria viridis. RNAcentral describes it as "long non-coding RNA (SVIR_LNC005925)". The record is from RNAcentral. Lineage: Eukaryota; Viridiplantae; Streptophyta; Magnoliopsida; Poales; Poaceae.
ACGUAUUCCUCAUCCAUCCCGACGGCAGCACGCUCCCCAACCCCGGCAGGCUCGUCCCGCACCCCGGUGGCCUCGUCCCCCACCCCAACGGCGGCGCCCUCUCCCACCAGGGUGUCCUCCUCGUCCACCCCGGCGGUGGCGCGCUCCUCCACUUCGGGAACCUCGUCCCCUACCCUGGCGGCGCCCCUCCCCCCACUCCGGCAUCCUCAACCAACCGGGAGCACCCAACACCCUGGAUCCGGUGGCCCUCUCCCUGACUCCGGCGAGAUCCAAGCGGGAAGGAUCGGGCGGCG